Molecule: ribosomal RNA, 249 nt
Filed under: uncultured bacterium
Lineage: Bacteria
Description: partial 16S ribosomal RNA
Rfam family: Bacterial small subunit ribosomal RNA
Source: RNAcentral
AAGCAGUGAUGUGGAGCUAAACUGAAAAAAGUAAGUCUCAGUUCGGAUUGAAGGCUGAAAUUCGCCCUCAUGAAGCCGGAAUUGCUAGUAAUGGCAGGUCAGCAUACUGCCGUGAAUACGUUCCCGGGCCUUGUACACACCGCCCGUCACACCAUGAGAGUUGGGAAUACCCGAAGCCUGUGAGCUAACUAUACGAGGCAGCAGUCGAAGGUAGAAUCAAUGAUUGGGGUGAAGUCGUAACAAGGUACC